UUGCAGUUAAAAAGCUCGUAGUCGGAUUUGGCAUCACGCCGAACUGUCUGCCGAUUGGUAAGUACGGUUUGGCGGGUGCUUCUUUCUUGAAGCUCGUUCCCUUCUUAACUGAAGGGUUCGUUGGUUCAGGUUCUUUUACUUUGAGAAAAUUAGAGUGUUCAAAGCAGGCCUAUGCUCUGAAUAGGCUAGCAUGGAAUAAUAGAAUAGGACUUUGGUUCUAUUUUGUUGGUUUCUAGGUCCGAAGUAAUGAUUAAUAGGGACAGUUGGGGGCAUUCAUAUUCCAUUGUCAGAGGUGAAAUUCUUGGAUUAACGGAAGAUGAACUUCUGCGAAAGCAUCUGCCAAGGAUGUUUUCAUUGAUCAAGAACGAAAGUUAGGGGAUCGAAGACGAUCAGAUACCGUCGUAGUCUUAACCAUAAACUAUGCCGACUAGGGAUGUGGAGGCGUUAACUUUGUACGACCCUCCAUGCACCUUAUGAGAAAUCAAAGUCUAUGGGUUCCGGGGGGAGUAUGGUCGCAAGGCUGAAACUUAAAGGAAUUGACGGAAAGGGCACCA
RNAcentral lists this ribosomal RNA (554 nucleotides) under uncultured marine eukaryote. Its description in RNAcentral is "SSU rRNA". It matches the Rfam family "Eukaryotic small subunit ribosomal RNA", at positions 613 to 1169 of the family's 1831-position model. The record is from RNAcentral.